RNAcentral lists this ribosomal RNA (396 nucleotides) under Flaviramulus aestuariivivens. RNAcentral's name for it is "bacterial SSU rRNA". It matches the Rfam family "Bacterial small subunit ribosomal RNA", at positions 256 to 649 of the family's 1533-position model. Lineage: Bacteria; Pseudomonadati; Bacteroidota; Flavobacteriia; Flavobacteriales; Flavobacteriaceae. The record is from RNAcentral.
GGUAACGGCACACCAUGGCUACGAUAGGUAGGGGCCCUGAGAGGGGGAUCCCCCACACUGGUACUGAGACACGGACCAGACUCCUACGGGAGGCAGCAGUGAGGAAUAUUGGGCAAUGGAGGCAACUCUGACCCAGCCAUGCCGCGUGCAGGAAGACUGCCCUAUGGGUUGUAAACUGCUUUUAUACGGGAAGAAACACCGCUACGUGUAGCGGCUUGACGGUACCGUAAGAAUAAGGAUCGGCUAACUCCGUGCCAGCAGCCGCGGUAAUACGGAGGAUCCAAGCGUUAUCCGGAAUCAUUGGGUUUAAAGGGUCCGUAGGUGGAUAAUUAAGUCAGAGGUGAAAUCCUGCAGCUCAACUGUAGAAUUGCCUUUGAUACUGGUUGUCUUGAGUCA